AACGCACAUUGCGCCUCUUGGUAUUCCGGGAGGCAUACCUGUUCGAGCGCCGUUUUCAUACUUCAAGCUUAGCUUGGUGUUGAAUUGUAUUAGGUUUCCUAAUACAUUCAAAACUCAUUGGCAAAAGUCUUUCUAGUCUAGAUGUGACAGAUAUCUCAUCUCCCCAAGAAAGUUCUGAUAGCCAGUAUUUUAGAAAACUUGAUGGCCUCGGAUCAGGUAAGAUUACCCGCUGAACUUAA
This 239-nucleotide unclassified non-coding RNA is filed under the name uncultured fungus. Its description in RNAcentral is "sequence contains ITS2". Lineage: Eukaryota; Fungi. The record is from RNAcentral.